RNAcentral lists this transfer RNA (73 nucleotides) under Marmota monax (woodchuck). RNAcentral's name for it is "tRNA.Val". The record is from RNAcentral. Lineage: Eukaryota; Metazoa; Chordata; Mammalia; Rodentia; Sciuridae.
CUUAGGGUACAGCUCAGUGCUAGAGUGCUUACCUAACAAGGGUGAAGCCCUGGGUUCAAUCCCAGCACCAAGA